UGGGGAAUAUUGGGCAAUGGGCGCAAGCCUGACCCAGCAACGCCGCGUGAAGGAAGAAGGCUUUCGGGUUGUAAACUUCUUUUCUCAGGGACGAAGCAAGUGACGGUACCUGAGGAAUAAGCCACGGCUAACUACGUGCCAGCAGCCGCGGUAAUACGUAGGUGGCAAGCGUUAUCCGGAUUUACUGGGUGUAAAGGGCGUGUAGGCGGGAAAGCAAGUCAGAUGUGAAAACCAUGGGCUCAACCUGUGGCCUGCAUUUGAAACUGUUUUUGCUUGAGUACUGGAGAGGCAGACGGAAUUCCUAGUGUAGCGGUGAAAUGCGUAGAUAUUAGGAGGAACACCAGUGGCGAAGGCGGUCUGCUGGACAGCAACUGACGCUGAGGCGCGAAAGCGUGGGGAGCAAACAGGAUUAGAUACC
RNAcentral lists this ribosomal RNA (418 nucleotides) under uncultured bacterium. RNAcentral describes it as "bacterial SSU rRNA". It matches the Rfam family "Bacterial small subunit ribosomal RNA", at positions 355 to 786 of the family's 1533-position model. The record is from RNAcentral.